This 101-nucleotide ribosomal RNA is filed under the name uncultured bacterium. Its description in RNAcentral is "partial 16S ribosomal RNA". It matches the Rfam family "Bacterial small subunit ribosomal RNA", at positions 392 to 508 of the family's 1533-position model. The record is from RNAcentral.
CAACGCCGCGUGACGGAUGACGCCUCUUGGGGUGUAAAACGUCUUUUGCCGAGGGAGAGAAUGGACGGUACUCGGCGAAUAAGGACCGGCUAACUACGUGC